UAAGUUAUACUGCAAAGAAGUUGUAUUUAAUUUUUAAUAUUUUACCUUUUGCAUAAUGGUUUAAUAAUAUAAUGUAUAAAUUUUGCAUCCCGAAAUUAGAAGAUCUAAUAUUAUUAAUUUUUUAGAACUAAUUGUAUAAUGUUUCAAAAUUAUAUUAAUAAAUAAUAUUAGGGGUGAAAGGCUUAACAAUUCUAAUGAUAUCUGGAAUAACUUUAAAUGUAUUUAGUACAGAAUAAAAUUUGAGUAAAAAAAUGUUAAGAUUUUUUUUAUUUAUAGAAUAAUAUAUUGAAAUAUUUAUAUGAAAUAAACUUCCAAUAUUUAUAUUAAUAUAUAAUUUAUUAUUUUAUAUAUCUAAUUAAUAAAGUUACAUCGCAUUUAAACUAAAAUUUUAAAUUAAUUAUGUUAAAAUUAGUAUAAUAAUUUUAUUUAAUUAAGGAACUCGGCUAACCAUUAUUUACCUGUUUAUCAAAAACAUAGUCUUAUGAAAUAUAUAUAAGGUGAAACCUGCCCACUGAUAUUAAUUAAAUGGCCGCAGUACCUUGACUGUGCUAAGGUAGCAUAAUAAAUUGACUUUUAAUUGGAGCCUUGAAUGAAUGGAACCAUAAAUAAUCUCUGUCUCAAUUAAACACUUACAAGUUACUUAAAAGGUGAAAAUUCCUUUAAUAUAUAAAAUAGACGAGAAGACCCUAGGAGUUUUAAUUUUUGUUGGGGCGACAAUAUAGCAUAUAACCUAUAUAGUAGAUAAUUUAUAAAACGAAUAAAUUUUAAUACUAAAUAAGCUACCCUAGGGAUAACAGCAUAAUUUAAUUUAAGUUUGUGACCUCGAUGUUGGACUAGGAACUUUUAAUAUUAACAAUAUUAAC
This 863-nucleotide ribosomal RNA is filed under the name Fastosarion griseolus. RNAcentral's name for it is "partial 16S large subunit ribosomal RNA". The stretch from base 455 to 606 matches the Rfam family "Archaeal large subunit ribosomal RNA", at positions 1888 to 2085 of the family's 2987-position model. The record is from RNAcentral. Lineage: Eukaryota; Metazoa; Mollusca; Gastropoda; Stylommatophora; Helicarionidae.